GCGCAUUCGCCCUUAGAGUUUGAUCCUGGCUCAGGAUGAACGCUAGCUACAGGCUUAACACAUGCAAGUCGAGGGGCAGCGGGAUUGAAGCUUGCUUCAAUUGCCGGCGACCGGCGCACGGGUGAGUAACGCGUAUCCAACCUUCCGUACACUCAGGGAUAGCCUUUCGAAAGAAAGAUUAAUACCUGAUAGUAUCUUAAGCACACAUGUAAUUAAGAUUAAAGAUUUAUCGGUGUACGAUGGGGAUGCGUUCCAUUAGGUAGUAGGCGGGGUAACGGCCCACCUAGCCAACGAUGGAUAGGGGUUCUGAGAGGAAGGUCCCCCACAUUGGAACUGAGACACGGUCCAAACUCCUACGGGAGGCAGCAGUGAGGAAUAUUGGUCAAUGGACGAGAGUCUGAACCAGCCAAGUAGCGUGAAGGAUGAAGGUCCUACGGAUUGUAAACUUCUUUUAUAAGGGAAUAAACCCUCCCACGUGUGGGAGCUUGUAUGUACCUUAUGAAUAAGCAUCGGCUAACUCCGUGCCAGCAGCCGCGGUAAUACGGAGGAUGCGAGCGUUAUCCGGAUUUAUUGGGUUUAAAGGGAGCGCAGACGGGUCGUUAAGUCAGCUGUGAAAGUUUGGGGCUCAACCUUAAAAUUGCAGUUGAUACUGGCGUCCUUGAGUGCGGUUGAGGUGUGCGGAAUUCGUGGUGUAGCGGUGAAAUGCUUAGAUAUCACGAAGAACUCCGAUUGCGAAGGCAGCACACUAAUCCGUAACUGACGUUCAUGCUCGAAAGUGUGGGUAUCAAACAGGAUUAGAUACCCUGGUAGUCCACACGGUAAGCGAUGGAUACUCGCUGUUGGCGAUAUACUGUCAGCGGCUUAGCGAAAGCGUUAAGUAUCCCACCUGGGGAGUACGCCGGCAACGGUGAAACUCAAAUGAAUUGACGG
This 930-nucleotide ribosomal RNA is filed under the name uncultured bacterium. Its description in RNAcentral is "bacterial SSU rRNA". It matches the Rfam family "Bacterial small subunit ribosomal RNA", at positions 1 to 916 of the family's 1533-position model. The record is from RNAcentral.